AUUGAACGCUGGCGGCAGGCCUAACACAUGCAAGUCUACCGAGCGGCGGACGGGUGACUAACGUCUGAGGAACUGCCUGAUGGAGGGGGAUUUCUUCUGGACCCGGUAACUAAUCUCGCAUCCCAUCAGCUGUGCCCUGAGGGGAUUAGGUAGUAGGAGGGGUAACGGCUCACCUAGGCGACGAUCCCUAGCUGGUCUGAGAGGAUGACGAGAACAACUGGAACGGAGACACGGUCCAGACGCAUACGGGAGGCAGCAGUGGGGAAUAUUGCACAAUGGGCGCAAGCCUUAUGCAGCCAUGCCGAGUGUGUGAAGAAGGCCUUCGGGUUGUAAAGCAAUUGCAGAGGGGAGGCGUUACCCGCAGAAGAAGCACCGGCUAACUCCGUGCCAGCAGCCGCGGUAAUUC
Molecule: ribosomal RNA, 406 nt
Filed under: uncultured bacterium
Lineage: Bacteria
Description: partial 16S ribosomal RNA
Rfam family: Bacterial small subunit ribosomal RNA
Source: RNAcentral